UCUCCUGCUGUUAGUGAAAAUGAUGGUCAAGGUGGUGGACGGUAAGUAUCAUUAACUCUUAAUCCUUUGCUGUUAGUGUCAGAUGUACCUGUUCAGAAGACAGUACACAACCUUCAGUGGCAGUGGAAGAAAUGUGGGUUUUUGUGUUGGUUUUUGCCGUUUUCAAAGAGGUAGGAAUAUAUCUUGUGAAGCGCUGUGUGAUUAAGCUGUUACAAGUUUGAUUAAUAAAUUGAUUUUUAGUUGGGCAUUCAAGCCAUGUCAUUUAAUCCAGCCAAGAUGGGUAAGUUUAGCAAGCGUUAAUCAGUGUAAACUAAUCUCAGAGAAUAUAACAGAAUAACACAAAGUUUUUUAAUGAAGACACUCUAAUUUUUUCUCUCAUUCGUCUUCUAAUUGUAUGAUCGCAAGGGUUUGACCUUUCCGGAUUCGAGUGAAAUUGGGGGUGAUUUUUUAUACGAGACGGUGGUCCCCAACUGCCAAAAUCACACGUACUGUGAACACUUGGACCGCUACCCUAACGAACUAUUUUCCAAAAUAUUAAAAAGCCGCGAAAAGGAGUUUUCUCGGUACUUUCAGAGUAUGGCAGUAAUAGAGCCCAUUAUGAGUAGGAACCAAGACACUUCCUGUAUUUGUGCAUCACGCAAAAGUAUUAUAUACCCAAAAGCGGCAUAUAAUAUAAAAAAUAAUCUGAAAUUUAUCUACAACUUCGAUGGAUACAAACAAGGAGUGUCCGUAGAGGUCUGCGUGAUGUAAGUUUUUUAAAUUUUAUUGUGAAUAAGGACGGACUUUAGUACGUGUUUUAGAAAAAAUCAAAUGUGCAAAUUUUACGAGAAGGUGAGAAAGUUAAAAACAAGGUGUCGACAAAAGUUCGUCGAAAAAUUGUUACUGACGGCUGAUGAAAAUGGAAGACCGUACGCUGAUAGGUACAGAUUUCCAUCAGCUUGUGUCUGUUCGUACAAGAUAAUUAGCUCUAAUGUGUUUUUUACUUAAAGUUGGGGUAAGUUUCGUAAUUUAAAUUUUGUUUCACCUACUAACUCAUUUUUAGUAACUGCAGAGUAAUACAUUUACUUUGUGGAGAAGUGAACUGAGACGAUUUUAUCCCUGUAAUUAUCGCAGUAUUAGGUGGAAGAAAACGAUAGGUAUUAAUCACAAUUUAGUGAAUCCCAGCUAAUAAUUCUUGAAAAGUAAUUACGUGUGAUUUGUGUGAUUAUGACGAAUUGUAGGUACGUAAGUUAUUGUGGACUAAUGUGUGUUUUUAUAAUUAAAUUUUAGCAAUUUUAGUCCGGACGUUAGUCAAGUUUUUAUUUAUUGUUACAAGCUUUACCAGUGUCUGAAACUGUUUAAGCAUUUUAUGAAAUAUUAUGUUAGAACUAGCUUAAGCAUUAAAAAUGUACAAACAGACGAAAAGUAUUGUAGUAUUGUAAAUUUAUGUGUACUAUAAACUGUAAUUAAUAAAGCUGUUGAUGUUCGAAUGAACUUAUUUUAUGUGGGAAAAUGAAUAAAAUUUGUUGCAAACAGGAAAGCUAUUAAUAACUGAAACUUAAAUGAAUUUCCUUCAGUUUUGUUUGAGGAACGGUGUGGUCUGAUGUGCGUCCGUGAUGCUGAGUUAUUUGUAUUUGAAAUAAGAAGCCUCUAAUUUAAUAGUAAUAGGUGAGUUGGUUAAAUUCAACCAAAACGUAGUGUGGGCUCUUCUUGCACCUUUAUUGUAACAAAAAAUUUCCACAUAUCUCACUCUUAAUACUUUAAUUAAUUGCUGUUGUGGCACAAACCAAUUGUUAGAUAUAGUAUUUAAAUAAUGCUUGAGGAAAUAAGAAUUUUGUUAAAUUUUGUCCUGCAACGGUUUGUUAAAUCUUACAUUGUGCGUGCAGAAAUCUUCAAGUCGAAAAAACGAUCUUAUGUUGAUUUAAAGAGUUUAUAGCUGCAAAAUAUACAUUUCUUCGAUUUAUUGCUUGACUUGUUAUUUCUGGAGGAAAGUGACGGCAAAAGCAAAUAGCAUUGAUACAAACCAUUUUUUAUUUGUUAACAGAUUCAAGUUUGGUACAAGCUUGGGUGUAAAAUAAAUUUUUCUAUAAGUUUAGUAGUAAAUUAAUUAACUAGUGGCAUACUAAAACCAAAUAAAUACGGUUAUUUAUUAUGUAUUGCUUUUAUUUUAAGAAAACCUAAAGCAAUUUCAGUUACAACUUUAAAUACUUUAUUCGCGGUAAAUAUUAUAUUAAAUCAACAGGUGUAAUAAAAUCGCUGAAUUUGAAUGAACCAUUGUUUUUGAUGUUGCUGUUGCAGACUGUUUAUUGAAUGUUACUUUGAAGUAAUUACAUAAAUUAGAUUCAUUGGGCAUUAAUUAUAUGAUAUUUGAAUGGACACUAAUUAAAUUCACUGAGUCAGUAUAGGGAGAAUAAAAACGUUUCUGAAAUAUUUGUCUGAAUGAAAUUAAAUCGAUUAAAUAUUUGCGUAUCAAUCAAGCCAGGGAUCGCGUUUAUUUUUAAGGAGUUUUAAAAAUUCUGACGCAUCUUCUCUGUUAUGCUUUACACAGUUUCGUGGAUCUUCCUUGAAGGAGAUUGAUGUGGCCAGUGAAAUCCAUCUCUGCGUCACUUCUUAGCGCAAACCCUUUACAAUUUGUUGGAAGUUAAACUGAUCCUGCAAGCUACAGAUACCUCCCUUGAAUAACUUUAGGAAAAUGCGACUUUCUCUCAGAUUUUCUUUAAUUAGCAGAUUACAUAGUUUAUGAACGUGAUGUAAUCAUGGCCAGAAGUUCCAACAGUGGAGCCGUUCCAUCUAUAAUUAUGUAAAAUCGAUGCUUUGGGAUGAUUACCAACUCUAGGGUACCUUAAAUGGCAUUGUUAGAGCGAAAAAGCGGUUAAUUGCUUUUAAAUGAAACCGUAAAAGGAGGAAAAAUGUUCCUGGCCCUAAAGACAGGUUUAAACGCGGCAUAAAACUUGAAUGAACGUUACUUAAAUACUUACCAAAUGCAUUCUAAUUUCAUUUGAAUUUUUAAAUAUUUACUCCGAAUUUCAAAACUAUAUUUUUCUUGUGGCGAUAGGUAAGUUAUCCAGAUGCUCGUUAUAAACAAAAUCUGUGUCAUAUUCGUUUUAUAGCUAUCCUACUAACAUUCAUUGUUAAAAUAUUGUUUCAGUUUGAAUAGGUACAGCUGUAAUUGUAGUCGAGUUUUGGUAAACAAAAUGAGCAAAGUAAACACGCAGUUUUUAUUUAAAAAAUGCUGUAAAAAUAAAAUCGCAAUUUAUUCCUGGAUUAAGUGCUCAGUAUUUUUAGAUACUCCAAUAAUAAUAUAACUAAAUCAACUUUCUAAGUAGAUAACGAAUGGGGGGACAACACAACACAACCUUGACCUUGAGUUUGACCCCGCCCAUUUUCCCUCUCUUUUUUUUCAAGGUCACUCGUUCUCUCUCUCUCUUACUUUUUCAAGGCCAACCCCUCCACUUCCCCCACCACUUCAAGGCCAAGGCAUUAUUGGACCUUGAUGUUUUCAAGGUCAAGGCCAUUCAUGUUACUCCCCACUUUUGCAAGGCCAACAACUCCUCACUCAUUCAAGAUGAAUCGCGCAAUUGUCCUUACUCAUUUUCCACCCCAAACUGUAUAAAAGUUAAUGUGUUGUGUUGUGUAACACAGUUCUUGUGUAUAUCUACAAUAACAAGCAAUUCUUAAAAAAUGGAACCCAUCAGAAAAAGUUCUAUUUUUAAUACUCCUGAGGAUAUCAUAGUUUGUCCAUACGACAAAAACCACAUUCUUCUUUGGUUUCGGCUCGAAAGGCACAUUUGGAAGUGCCAUCGGGCCGAUAAAGAAAAGCAAAGGGCCUCAAGUAAAGUGAUGGUGCAAGAAGAAGAGGAGAACUGGGAUCAUUUUAAUGAGCCCAGCUACCUCGACUUCCUGAGGAGUAAAAAGAAUCAUAAUGCCUUAAAUUAAAGAAGGCCGGGGUUCUUUCGUAGAGAAUAGUGUAGUUUAGCUAAGUAGUAGUCGUAGUAAAAUAUAAAUAUUAUAUUAU
This is an RNA transcript of Tribolium castaneum (red flour beetle), 3994 nucleotides long. RefSeq lists it as uncharacterized. Lineage: Eukaryota; Metazoa; Arthropoda; Insecta; Coleoptera; Tenebrionidae. The record is from RefSeq and is a predicted model, not a curated record. The transcript is spliced from 4 exons.